Long non-coding RNA from Carassius carassius (crucian carp), 1284 nucleotides. RefSeq lists it as uncharacterized. NCBI's taxonomy places the organism in Eukaryota, Metazoa, Chordata, Actinopteri, Cypriniformes, Cyprinidae. The record is from RefSeq and is a predicted model, not a curated record. The transcript has 5 exons.
UGGCCAAUUGAUUAUGAUGUUACAUGCUGUUUAUUACACAUUAUAAUGAAGUAUUCCAGAUUGCCGCGAUGUGAUCUUUUAACUAGCUACCACUCCCCAUGCCUUUACCUAUUGAAAAUACUAAAGCUUAAUACUACAUAAAAAGCAUUGUUAGAUGAUAGAUGAAUUGAAGGAUUUACAUUUUUUUAUUAUUAUUAUUGAUAUAUUCAUAUCAUCUUGCAGGAAUUGUUGUUGAACCAUUUAUUACAACGGCUUUACACACGUCUGUCACUUUGGCUGGAACGCAUUCCUCUUGACAUGGACUUCUUAGAAUUUACGUGUUCUUAGGAGCUGGUCAUUUUUAGUGUCAUCUCAAAUCAGAUACCCAUUCCAGAUGAACUGUAUGAUGCACUUUAUCAAGUACACCAGAUAGCCAUAAGAAAUACUAAAAUGGAUCCACACAUCAUGGCUUCCCAAGAGAGAGGAAAAAAUGGCCGUCCACGGAUUCUGAUUUCUGAAGACUCUGUAUCCCAAAUGCUUACAUUAGGAUUGCCUGUGACAUGUAUUGCAAGGUUGCUAGGGGUGUCCAAGUUUACAAUUCAUAGACGCAUGGUGGAAUGGGGAUUAUCUGUGAUGGCAACCUACAGCAACAUUGCAGAUGCCGAGCUAGACUCACUUGUGGCAACAAUCCACACAAGCAAUCCGAAUGCAGGUUACAGAAUGAUGAUGGGUCUGCUGAGAGCACAAGGUCAUUGGGUACAGUGGGAUAGAGUUCGUUCUUCAAUGCAUCGAGUUGACACUGCAAGCAUUGUUUCCAGGAUGUCACAAUUAGGAUGCGUGGUUAGGAGGACAUACUCUGUCCCCAGCCCAAAGUCCCUGAUGCACAUUGACACAAACCACAAGUUGAUACGGUAUAACAUUGUAAUAUUUGGAGGCAUCGAUGGCUUCUCCAGGAAGAUAAUGUACCUUGGUGUGUCAAAUAACAAUCUGGCUUCCACAACACUGUCUUUUUUCCAUGAGGCAGUUCAGAAGUUUGGAUUUCCACUGAUGGUUCGGGGGGAUCAUGGGGGGGGGGGGGUGUAGAUGUGGCCUGCCUUAUGUUCUCUGACCGAGGAACGGGGAGAAGUAGCUUCAUUGCUGGUAAAAGUGUUCACAAUCAGAGAAUUGAGCGAUUGUGGCGGGAUGUGUUCACUGCAGUUACCUCCCACUUCUACCAUGUUCUGCACCAGCUGGAAGAGGAUGGGCAUCUUGAUCUGUCCAGCAGUCUUCACAUCUUCUGCUGUCACUAUGCCUUUAUCCCACGGC